AGAGGUCACACCCGUUCCCAUAUCGAACACGGAAGUUAAGUUCUCUAGCGCCAAUGGUAGUGGGGACUUUGUCCUUGUGAGAGUAGGACGUUGUCAGGC
Molecule: ribosomal RNA, 99 nt
Filed under: Priestia megaterium
Lineage: Bacteria; Bacillati; Bacillota; Bacilli; Caryophanales; Bacillaceae
Source: RNAcentral